AUUAACAAAACCAAAAUAUAGAGGUAGAUCUUUGUUAAAGAUCUCAAUGGACCCCCUGUUAAUA
RNAcentral lists this transfer RNA (64 nucleotides) under Cymothoa indica. Its description in RNAcentral is "tRNA-Asn". Lineage: Eukaryota; Metazoa; Arthropoda; Malacostraca; Isopoda; Cymothoidae. The record is from RNAcentral.